Xenopus laevis (African clawed frog) is the source of this 569-nucleotide long non-coding RNA. RefSeq lists it as uncharacterized. The transcript is spliced from 3 exons. The record is from RefSeq and is a predicted model, not a curated record. Lineage: Eukaryota; Metazoa; Chordata; Amphibia; Anura; Pipidae.
ACUGGUAGAUGAGCAUCUUUUCAUCAAAUUGCCAUGUCUUUCACUAGUGUAAGAAUAUGAAGAAUGCAGUUCAUGGUGCCAAACUCCUCUCAGUCAGUAUUAUUUGUUGUUGUAAUAUGUUUAAGGUGUGCGACUGAAUAGCCUGCUGGGAAGGAAAGGAAGCUUGUAGAAAAUGAACAAUUACUGGGAUGUUGGUCAGUUCUUCAUAGUCAGCAUGUUGGCUAGUGAUAUUGGGAAAGCAGUCCAAGCAUCUGAGCGCCUCUUUAAACUCAAGCCUCCUGUUUGGUCGGUAUGUUUAAAAUCCAUCCUGAAAUCCCCGAAUCCCUAUCAGCAGAAGCCAAAGCUUUCAUCCUGCUCUGUUUUGAGCCUGAUCCUGUGAAACGUGCUACAGUAACUGAUCUACUUACAGAUUCUUUCCUAAAGCAGUCAAAUAAGGGCAAGAAGAGUAAAAUUGCUUUCAAACCUUCAGAUCAACAAGGUAUUACGGAAUCACUUAAUUCGUCCACAUUGGAUGUUCACUAUGGACAAUAUCAUACGCCGUGCAGUGCAGGCAGCGGUUACCAUCCUUA